RNAcentral lists this transfer RNA (73 nucleotides) under Stegodyphus mimosarum. It matches the Rfam family "tRNA". From Rfam's summary of the family: Transfer RNA (tRNA) molecules are approximately 80 nucleotides in length. Lineage: Eukaryota; Metazoa; Arthropoda; Arachnida; Araneae; Eresidae. The record is from Rfam by way of RNAcentral.
GUCUUCGUGGUGUAGUGGUCAGCACGCUCGACGCGUAACCGAGAGGUCCGUGGUUCGAUUCCCGGCGAAAGCG